This 467-nucleotide ribosomal RNA is filed under the name uncultured bacterium. RNAcentral's name for it is "bacterial SSU rRNA". It matches the Rfam family "Bacterial small subunit ribosomal RNA", at positions 28 to 493 of the family's 1533-position model. The record is from RNAcentral.
GAUGAACGCUGGCGGCGUGCUUAACACAUGCAAGUCGAACGAAGCACUUUUAUUUGAUUUCUUCGGAAUGAAGAUUUUAGUGACUGAGUGGCGGACGGGUGAGUAACGCGUGGGUAACCUGCCUCAUACAGGGGGAUAACAGUUAGAAAUGACUGCUAAUACCGCAUAAGACCACAGCACCGCAUGGUGCAGGGGUAAAAACUCCGGUGGUAUGAGAUGGACCCGCGUCUGAUUAGGUAGUUGGUGGGGUAACGGCCUACCAAGCCGACGAUCAGUAGCCGACCUGAGAGGGUGACCGGCCACAUUGGGACUGAGACACGGCCCAAACUCCUACGGGAGGCAGCAGUGGGGAAUAUUGCACAAUGGGGGAAACCCUGAUGCAGCGACGCCGCGUGAGCGAUGAAGUAUUUCGGUAUGUAAAGCUCUAUCAGCAGGGAAGAAAAUGACGGUACCUGACUAAGAAGCAC